AGAGAGUUGACUGAGUGGUUUAAGGUGAUAAGCUUGAAAUUUAUUUGGUUAAAUUGAUCACAUCCGUUCGAAUCGGAUAUUCUCUG
Molecule: transfer RNA, 86 nt
Filed under: Parmotrema stuppeum
Lineage: Eukaryota; Fungi; Ascomycota; Lecanoromycetes; Lecanorales; Parmeliaceae
Description: tRNA-Ser
Rfam family: tRNA
About the family: Transfer RNA (tRNA) molecules are approximately 80 nucleotides in length. Their secondary structure includes four short double-helical elements and three loops (D, anti-codon, and T loops).
Source: RNAcentral